This 76-nucleotide transfer RNA is filed under the name Alphaproteobacteria bacterium. RNAcentral's name for it is "tRNA-Ser". It matches the Rfam family "tRNA". Rfam says of the family: Transfer RNA (tRNA) molecules are approximately 80 nucleotides in length. Their secondary structure includes four short double-helical elements and three loops (D, anti-codon, and T loops). Lineage: Bacteria; Pseudomonadati; Pseudomonadota; Alphaproteobacteria. The record is from RNAcentral.
GGCGCGGUGGCCGAGCGGUCAGGCACGGAGGUUCGAAAUCUUCGCCACACCGGUUCGAUUCCGGUCCACGCCCCCA